CUUUUGAAGUUCGCGCUGUGCUGUCACCCUCUCCACUGCCCUCCGUUGCUUUCCUCUCCCAAAUGGGAAAGCAAGAGAAGAGAGGGAAGCGAUUGGGGGGCGCUCGGUGUGUCGGCACGGCCUGUUGGCACGGCCAGACUGGAGUACACGCGCGCGUACGCACUACUGUUCGGUCGUAAGCGAGUUGUAGUGUUAUGAAUGAACCAUACGUCACGAGAUGAGCCGGCACAGAAUGACGUCAGAUGUCGUCACGGGAGGUCUGCAUUGUUUUUCGACAGCGUGUGGUGCGCUGUGUGUCAUCGGUUGUGUCGCUGUAUGAACGCAGCAGUGUUUUACCGCUUGCACUCGUGCGACCCGUAACGCGAGCCAUGACAGUGCAAACGCCUCAACGAUCGUCUUCGUGGUCCGGCAGUUGACGAUCGGUGUUUCAAGCAGGAAUUCGAGUUGAGCAGCGCGACCGGCGACAUCUACUGAAGCGUUGAUCUUCGUCUCCUCGCCAUGCUGUCGUCGGUACUCUGGUGCAUCCUUGCUGUGCAAUCGGCACUGUCACCUGUUUUCUGAUGUGGUGGAGGUGGCAAUGUGGGCUUUUCCAGGUCCACUUCCUGUUGCUGCGUUUCCUGGAGAAGGAACAGUCGGAGAAGCUUCCCAGUCCCGCAGCUCAAGGCCAUCGAACUAGUAAUUCUAAUACCCCCACAAGCAAGAAAAAGUCCAGUUGUUCAAAGAAGCCUCCAGUAUGAGCUAAGAAUUACAGCAUGUACCACCAGCAAUCUUUGGGGAAACAAAUAAUUUUGUGCACACGGCA
Long non-coding RNA from Dermacentor albipictus, 802 nucleotides. RefSeq lists it as uncharacterized. The record is from RefSeq and is a predicted model, not a curated record. NCBI's taxonomy places the organism in Eukaryota, Metazoa, Arthropoda, Arachnida, Ixodida, Ixodidae.